GUGARAGGUUGCUCACCCAACACUGGGAYKGAGACACUGCCCAAACUCCUACGGGAGCCUGCAGUCGAGAAUCUUCCGCAAUGGGCRCAAGCCUGACGGACCAAUCCCGCGUGAGGGAAGAAGGCCUUCGGGUUGUAAACCUCUGUCACCCGGGACGAAAACAAUGACGGUACCGGGAGAGGAAGUCACGGCUAAGUACGUGCCAGCAGCCGCGGUAAUACGUAGGUGGCGAGCGUUAUUCGGAUUCACUGGGCGUAAAGGGUCCGCAGGGGGCCUGCCAAGUCUGUCGUGAAAUCCCGGGGCUCAACCCCGGGUCUGCGGUGGAAACAGGCGGGCUGGAGUGUGUGAGGGGCAGACGGAACACCUGGUGUAGCGGUGGAAUGCGUGGAUAUCAGGUGGAACACCGAUGGCGAAGGCGGUCUGCUGGCACACAACUGACCCUCAGGGACGAAAGCGUGGGUAGCAAACAGGAUUAGAUACCCUGGUAGUCCACGCUGUAAACGUUGAGAACUAGAUAUGGUGGGGCUGGCCCCCUCCGUGUCCAAGCAAACGCGAUAAGUUCUCCGCCUGGGGACUACGGCCGCAAGGCUAAAACUCAAAGGAAUUGACGG
This 611-nucleotide ribosomal RNA is filed under the name uncultured bacterium. RNAcentral's name for it is "bacterial SSU rRNA". It matches the Rfam family "Bacterial small subunit ribosomal RNA", at positions 292 to 916 of the family's 1533-position model. The record is from RNAcentral.